RNAcentral lists this transfer RNA (64 nucleotides) under Rhagophthalmus giganteus. RNAcentral describes it as "tRNA-Leu". It matches the Rfam family "tRNA". Rfam says of the family: Transfer RNA (tRNA) molecules are approximately 80 nucleotides in length. Their secondary structure includes four short double-helical elements and three loops (D, anti-codon, and T loops). The record is from RNAcentral. Lineage: Eukaryota; Metazoa; Arthropoda; Insecta; Coleoptera; Rhagophthalmidae. RNAcentral also lists the same sequence under 1 other name.
UCUAAUAUGGCAGAUUAGUGCAAUAAACUUAAGAUUUAUAAAUAAAGUCAAACUUUUUUUAGAA